This is a long non-coding RNA of Cyprinus carpio carpio, 1128 nucleotides long. The record is from Ensembl. Lineage: Eukaryota; Metazoa; Chordata; Actinopteri; Cypriniformes; Cyprinidae.
UAGUUAUAGGUAUUCAUAAGUAUCCAAUUUAAUGCUUCAGCAGAAAUACAUGUUUUUAAUUUUUGUCUUUUGUCUUUGCCUGUAAAGGGAAACUUAACCAAGCCAAAUGAACAACUUAGAAACACUGAAGUCCCAAGGACUUCAUAGUGAAGAUGUCCUUGGGACAAUUGGGCCUUUCAAAAUCUUUCUGGGUAGUUUGGAGGCCCUUUUAGGCCCAUUUGAACUUCCAGAUGAGGUAAUGGAUGCCUUAUUUUACGUCAUGAGCAGGAGCCAGCCUGGGACAGAGGCAAUUAAUAGUCAGGCUAUGCGCCUGAUUUUGGAGGGCAGCUCCAGGGCCAGGAGUACUUAUUUCUUAAAAAAAAACAUUCUUAAAGGAGCCAGUGCCAUCUUCGGGCCCUACUUGCUGGGAGAGUGCCACUGGACCCUCUUUCAUUGCAACUUGAAAGAGGGAACUAUUACCUACAUCGACUCCUUGGGGGAGCAACCACAGCAUUGCUUCCAAAUAAUGGAAAAUUGGAGCUUAUUUGCUGCUAGCAGAGGCUGCCAAGGGCCCUGGAAGAUGAUGAAGAGGGACCAUGACUUACAAAACGACUCUUUGUCAUGUGGGGUGUUCUCACUAAUGUUUGCAGAAAUGAUCCUCCAGGGACAACAAGGGCACCUCCAAUGCCUCCCUAUCGCUCAAGAGCGGGAGAGACUUGGGACUUUGUUGUUCAACUCCCUUGAUACAAAGACUCUAAGAAGAAAAAAGGCAAGGGUUAAUUAUCAAAAUAUACAUACUGUUUCUCAACACAUUGUAUACUUAACUCAAUGUUUUUUUCUCUUUUCUAGGGAAAAAUCGCCAAGUCUAAAAAUACAGUAGAUGGUGGCCUUGCACAGGAAUCUGAGUCCACAGAGGGUGAACAAGAGUAUUAUUCGAAGUGGAGAGUGUUCUCCGGUUACCUGACGGGACCAAGGCCAAAAGGUAACUUUGUAUGUCAUUACCAUCAAUAUUUCAUACAUUUACAUAAUUCUUCCUAAGCAAUUAAUAGUUCCAAACAAUAACUGUGCACAGGUCUACACAUUGCACGAUUACCGUAUUUUCCGCACUAUAAGGCGCACUUAAAAGCCUUUAAUUUUAUUCAAAAAACG